AUACGCCUCACAGGCAGGUCUUCUCUAAGUGAAAAGCGAAAGGCCUCCUGCUCCACCAACUGCAUGUCUGUUGAGGUACCAUGAUGAAAAUAUAUGGAAACUUUGUGUACUUUUCCUGGUUAUUAACUCUUUUAGAAGUCUA
Long non-coding RNA from Solanum stenotomum, 142 nucleotides. RefSeq lists it as uncharacterized. The record is from RefSeq and is a predicted model, not a curated record. The transcript is spliced from 2 exons. Lineage: Eukaryota; Viridiplantae; Streptophyta; Magnoliopsida; Solanales; Solanaceae.